AAUUUGAAAUAAUAAUUUCUAAUAGGUUUCGGUUGGGUGAAGUCACUGAUUUCCAAAAAGCAAAGUGUUAGGAGCAGAGGUUUUAUGUAUCUUAAAGAUUUUAAUUAGAAAAUUCUAGCUUUUAAUGCUUCAAGUGAAAUGUGUUAGAUCAAUUAAAUAUUUAAUUUCGUUCGAAAAAGUGUUUUUUCAAAAAGAAAAGUGCACAUUUGAAAAAAAGAAACAGCAAUCAACAAUAUAUAAAAACCAAAUAGCAGACAAAUUAGCAGUUAUGCCGCUUAAAGCUUUUGCUAGAAGAAGCAAAGCCGUACAAUUGUUAUGGACUUAUGCUCACCCAACUGAGAACAUCUUUUGCAACAAAUAAGUCAACAAAUUGAAGUUCUGGAAUUUAAGAAUAAAAUCAGAACGCAAUAAAUAAGUUAUGGAAUUGCUCAGAAUGGACCAAAAUAAAACUUCAUUUUAGAGUAUAGCUGUGCCCGUUGUAUUGUACAUACAUAUAUAAAAAAAAUGUCCAAUUUAAAAUAAUAUUUUUUUUUAUUAGGGAACGUUUGUUAUAUCGUUUAUUAUUGCAAUAAAGUAUUAUUUUGGAAUUAUGUACCAUAA
Ceratitis capitata (Mediterranean fruit fly) is the source of this 600-nucleotide long non-coding RNA. RefSeq lists it as uncharacterized. NCBI's taxonomy places the organism in Eukaryota, Metazoa, Arthropoda, Insecta, Diptera, Tephritidae. The record is from RefSeq and is a predicted model, not a curated record. The transcript is spliced from 2 exons.